AAGAAGUUCAAAAAAAUAAUAGAAUAAUAAAAAGCUGAGAUUCAAAUAAAGCAUCAAAAUGAUGAGAUACCAAACAUUGAAAAUGCGAAUGUGUUAGCAAUUAAAAAUGCUUAGCAAGAGGUAGUGUCGUUUCUCCAUAUUAAUUCAUGAAAAGUAGAUAUGUAUACCGUGGUUCAAUCCACUUGUCACAUAGCUUAUUAACUUAUAUUAUGAACAUGAACUCUCUUAUCACAACAUAUGAACAUAUAUUAUGUAUACAUUAAUAGACAUUUUAAUCUAGCAACUUCCUCAUGGCUUAUUCCCCAAGAAAGAGAUGAAAAAGUCAUGGUUUUGUAAUAUAU
Molecule: unclassified non-coding RNA, 341 nt
Filed under: Hevea brasiliensis (rubber tree)
Lineage: Eukaryota; Viridiplantae; Streptophyta; Magnoliopsida; Malpighiales; Euphorbiaceae
Source: RNAcentral